This 803-nucleotide ribosomal RNA is filed under the name Bacillus subtilis. RNAcentral's name for it is "bacterial SSU rRNA". It matches the Rfam family "Bacterial small subunit ribosomal RNA", at positions 564 to 1366 of the family's 1533-position model. Lineage: Bacteria; Bacillati; Bacillota; Bacilli; Caryophanales; Bacillaceae. The record is from RNAcentral.
AGGGCUUCGCAGGCGGUUUUUUAAGUCUGAUGUGAAAGCCCCCGGCUCAACCGGGGAGGGUCAUUGGAAACUGGGGAACUUGAGUGCAGAAGAGGAGAGUGGAAUUCCACGUGUAGCGGUGAAAUGCGUAGAGAUGUGGAGGAACACCAGUGGCGAAGGCGACUCUCUGGUCUGUAACUGACGCUGAGGAGCGAAAGCGUGGGGAGCGAACAGGAUUAGAUACCCUGGUAGUCCACGCCGUAAACGAUGAGUGCUAAGUGUUAGGGGGUUUCCGCCCCUUAGUGCUGCAGCUAACGCAUUAAGCACUCCGCCUGGGGAGUACGGUCGCAAGACUGAAACUCAAAGGAAUUGACGGGGGCCCGCACAAGCGGUGGAGCAUGUGGUUUAAUUCGAAGCAACGCGAAGAACCUUACCAGGUCUUGACAUCCUCUGACAAUCCUAGAGAUAGGACGUCCCCUUCGGGGGCAGAGUGACAGGUGGUGCAUGGUUGUCGUCAGCUCGUGUCGUGAGAUGUUGGGUUAAGUCCCGCAACGAGCGCAACCCUUGAUCUUAGUUGCCAGCAUUCAGUUGGGCACUCUAAGGUGACUGCCGGUGACAAACCGGAGGAAGGUGGGGAUGACGUCAAAUCAUCAUGCCCCUUAUGACCUGGGCUACACACGUGCUACAAUGGACAGAACAAAGGGCAGCGAAACCGCGAGGUUAAGCCAAUCCCACAAAUCUGUUCUCAGUUCGGAUCGCAGUCUGCAACUCGACUGCGUGAAGCUGGAAUCGCUAGUAAUCGCGGAUCAGCAUGCCGCGGUGAA